This 441-nucleotide ribosomal RNA is filed under the name uncultured bacterium. RNAcentral's name for it is "partial 16S ribosomal RNA". It matches the Rfam family "Bacterial small subunit ribosomal RNA", at positions 338 to 795 of the family's 1533-position model. The record is from RNAcentral.
CCUACGGGGGGCAGCAGUAGGGAAUCUUUCACAAUGGGCGAAAGCCUGAUGGAGCAACGCCGCGUGCAGGAUGAAGGCCUUCGGGUUGUAAACUGCUUUUAUAAGCGAGAAAUAUGAUGGUAACUUAUGAAUAAGGAUCGGCUAACUACGUGCCAGCCGCCGCGGUCAUACGUAGGAUCCGAGCAUUAUCCGGAGUGUCUGGGUGUAAAGAGUUGCGUAGGUGGCAGAAUAAGUAGCUAGUGAAAUCUGGUGGCUCAACCAUUCAGACUAUUAGCUAAACUGUUAAGCUCGAGACCGUUAGGGCUAACUGGAAUUUCUGGUGUAGGGUUGAAAUCCGUAGAUAGUAGAAGGAACACCAAUAGCGUAGGCAGGUUACUGGGACGGUUCUGACACUAAGGCACGAAGGCGUAGUGAGCAAAAGGGAUUGAGUACCCCGUAGUC